AUUGUUUCAGGUGGAAACAGACUCAGUCAGGGCCCUUUACAAAAGGAGUCUAGAACUAGACUGUUCACUGAAGGAGCUGGACUGUGAACUGAGGAGGCUCAAAAUUAAAAAAAUUAAAUUGGAGAUCAAACAGCUGGAAAAAACAGAUCUCACCACAUGACCAAUAAAACAGUUUGAGACCUA
This is a long non-coding RNA of Rhinichthys klamathensis goyatoka, 183 nucleotides long. RefSeq lists it as uncharacterized. The transcript has 2 exons. The record is from RefSeq and is a predicted model, not a curated record. Lineage: Eukaryota; Metazoa; Chordata; Actinopteri; Cypriniformes; Leuciscidae.